RNAcentral lists this long non-coding RNA (1529 nucleotides) under Lactuca sativa (garden lettuce). RNAcentral describes it as "long non-coding RNA (LSAT_LNC000261)". The record is from RNAcentral. Lineage: Eukaryota; Viridiplantae; Streptophyta; Magnoliopsida; Asterales; Asteraceae.
AACAAUUAGGAAAUAAAAAAAAAUAAACUAAUAAUAAUAAAUAAAACUAUAAAAGUAAAUAAAUAAAUAAAUAAAAUCAUACUAUAUUUUACAUCAAUGAAAUUGAAGUUUCAAAGUUAAGGGCCACCUUUGAGGAAAGGAAGGGUUUAAGGGUCGACACUCGUGACUCGACAUUUAAAAAGCUGAUAACAGACUAAUCAUACUCUUGAAACUAGAUCAAACGAACCCGGCGUGAUUUUGCCGCCACCGCAAAGCCUGGGCAUCGCCAAUUCUCAUUCCCGACGAAUGGAGACAUCUGCACCAUCUUCCUCAAAGCCGCGUCAAGCACCUUUUCGUUACUUCUACUGUAACUGCUUCAAACGCUGUUGUCGUUGUUUCUGCUGUUUCUACUCUUACCCUUAAGGUUGUAACCUGAAAACCCUAACUUCUUCUAUAUGCUAACUUUUAUAUAGAUGUCCACCACUUUAAACCCUAACGUCUGAAAUAAUCAAAUUUCCAAACUUCUAAUUGGAUUUACCUCUAUGUAGAUUGGAUUAGAUGUUCUUAGUUUCACAUUUUUGUUUCAUGUAACAUGUGAUGUGAUACAAUUACAUUAAUUCUGCUUCUCUACAGCUUUAAAUCAGGUUGUGGGUACAAUUUAUUGGGCAAGCAGAAGCAGUUCAAUGAUUGAUUCUGAAGAGGGUACCUUUUCUUCUAUUACUUGAUCAUGUAAUAUAGUAAAUAGUAGAAAAAGAUGGGUAGCACUUAGCAGCCAUUGAAAGGUAGUUGCUUAAGUCUAAGAUAGGUUAUGUAUAUGAAUCGUCAAACACUGUGUGGAAUGGGAAGGGAGAAUAGCUGAAAAAAAAUCCUUUUUGUUUAUAAACUAACUGAUAAUUAAUUAGGAUUAUUUUAUAAAAAUUAGCGGAUGACAAAUCAGAAUUGAAUUCUAUAAUAUUUUUAUACACUUAAAUCAUGAAGUCUGUAAUAAUAUAUACUUAAAUCAUAUAAAGUUAUUUAUUUCGUAACAACAAGAAUAUUCAGACAGUAGUUUACAUUAUCAAAAUUUAUGUCUCUUGUAAAGCUGGACAACUUGCUGUUGAAAAUUGAAAGUUGAUUACAAAGAGAAAAACCCAACAAGAAACCAAAGGAUUCCAACUAAGAUUUCAAGUCAAGCAAAGCUGUUAACCGCUUCUUUGUAAUUAAUUUCUUUCAUUAAUUAAUUAUUUUCCGCGUCAUUUUCAACACCACGUGAAAUCCAAUUUUAUCCAAUAUUACUGUAAAACCUUUUUUUUUAGAUGAUAAUACAUAAGAAUAGUAUCACAUUGAUACAAGAUAAAUUUUCAAACAUUAUAUAACAACAUUAUUUUUAAUCAUCUUUUUAUUUCUUUGAAUAAAUCAAAAUUUACAACCUAUUCAUCUAUUGUCUAAAAAACCUUUUAUCUUAUUUCAAAAAAUUUCCAACCGGAAAAGAUAAAAUAUUCAUCUAUUGUCUGAAAGAUCCAAUUAACACUCAAAUAUUCUUUUCUGAAAGAUCCAAAAAAACAAAUGGG